Molecule: unclassified non-coding RNA, 212 nt
Filed under: soil metagenome
Description: partial contains small subunit ribosomal RNA, internal transcribed spacer 1, and 5.8S ribosomal RNA
Source: RNAcentral
UCUCCGUUGGUGAACCAGCGGAGGGAUCAUUACAGAGUUUUCACGCUCAGACCCGACGCGAACCUGAAACUGUUGCUUCGGCGGGCUGCCAGCCUUGCUGCGUCCGCCGAAGGUCUACAUUAGGCUCUUUAGCUGGGGUGCUAUCCCCUGUACUGUCCUCUGAAUCGCUUCCAAACUAGUCAAAACUUUCAACAACGGAUCUCUUGGUUCUG